UACAGAGGUCUCAAGCGUUGUUCGGAUUCAUUGGGCGUAAAGGGUGCGUAGGCGGCGCGGUAAGUCGGGUGUGAAAUCUUGGAGCUUAACUCCGAAACUGCAUUCGAUACUGCCGUGCUCGAGGACUGGAGAGGAGUGCGGAAUUCCAGGUGUAGCGGUGAAAUGCGUAGAUAUCUGGAGGAACACCGGUGGCGAAGGCGGCAUUCUGGACCGACAUUGACGCUGAGGCGCGAAAGCCAGGGGAGCAAACGGG
This 253-nucleotide ribosomal RNA is filed under the name uncultured bacterium. Its description in RNAcentral is "partial 16S ribosomal RNA". It matches the Rfam family "Bacterial small subunit ribosomal RNA", at positions 524 to 776 of the family's 1533-position model. The record is from RNAcentral.